GCAGACUUCGCUCCGACACGUGGU
RNAcentral lists this non-coding RNA (24 nucleotides) under Cricetulus griseus (Chinese hamster). The record is from RNAcentral. Lineage: Eukaryota; Metazoa; Chordata; Mammalia; Rodentia; Cricetidae.